RNAcentral lists this unclassified non-coding RNA (441 nucleotides) under Hevea brasiliensis (rubber tree). Lineage: Eukaryota; Viridiplantae; Streptophyta; Magnoliopsida; Malpighiales; Euphorbiaceae. The record is from RNAcentral.
GGUACUCUCAUCAUAUACUUCAAAGAUCAUUCCUCGGCAGUGAUUUUAUUUUGGGCUAAUAAAAUCCAUGGUAAACAAAACAAACAAGACCACAAAGUUUUGGAUCAUUUAUGGGCACUUGGGCUGCUUCCCAUGGGUCUUCAGGUUGGCAUAGCAGGGACAUGACUUUGUGUUCCCAUAGGUACCGGCUGGAACACACUGGCAGGUCGCGCAACAGCUUCCACAUGCCCGCAUGCAUACCUUAGUCCGGGAAGCUUUUGAGCAUCUCCUUGCGCAUGAAUAGUCGCAAUUGAUCCUUGGAGCAAGAUGAAUUCCGACUAUUGUAGAUACAUCACUUUUUCUAUCAGGACUUCCAAUGCCAUUACUCAGAGAUGCUUCUGCAAAUACUAGGAAGAGGAAGAGAACAAGGAAGCAAGAGAGGAAGCACUUGCUAGCACCGGC